This 86-nucleotide transfer RNA is filed under the name Lactobacillales bacterium. RNAcentral's name for it is "tRNA-Tyr". It matches the Rfam family "tRNA". Rfam says of the family: Transfer RNA (tRNA) molecules are approximately 80 nucleotides in length. Their secondary structure includes four short double-helical elements and three loops (D, anti-codon, and T loops). The record is from RNAcentral. Lineage: Bacteria; Bacillati; Bacillota; Bacilli; Lactobacillales.
GGAAGGGUGGCCGAGUGGUUAAUGGCAGCAGACUGUAAAUCUGCCCUCUUAGGAGUACGAAAGUUCGAAUCUUUCCCCUUCCACCA